CUGACUUUGAUGUGCAGACGUGAAACUGUGGGCGCUUUCUUCCUCACUCUGUCACUGCGCUGCUGUCUGACCUUCACACUGAUCCUCUGCAGCUCACCUGCUCUUUGACACCCUCUGACUCUCACAGUGACUGACAGCUGAGGGGGCGGAGCCUGCAGCCAUGUUGGUGGUGGUGUGGUUACUGAUGAUGAUGAUGAAGAGUGACGCUGGCGCUGCAGACAUCAUCAGAGUGUCUGCCAACAGCAGCACGAGAGUCAUGCUGGCCUCAGGCCUGCAGGGGGACCCGAGGGCACGCGGGUACGACGUCAGGUGGACUCAGAUCCCUCACCUGCUGCUGAACUGGAACCGGAGCACGUGCUCCCACGGACGCUGCUCGAUGCUCCCUGACGGCUCGCUCGAGUUCAGCCGACUUCAGACCCAAGACUCCGGAAACUACACGCUGGAGGUGUUUGACAAGACUGGGUCGAGACUGCAGACCAAAGACUUCCUGCUGCAGGUGACAGACCGCAGCAGCAGCCAUGUGGUGUCUUCAGUGUCCGUCUGCGUCGUCCUGCUGGUUCUGUUGCUCUUCUUCAUCGUGGUCUUCAUCCUGAGGAAGAGGAGGGUUCAGAGGAAGAAAACCACAGGUCAGGAGGAGGAGAAGGAGGAGAACAUUUAUGUGGUGAUGAGGAGGAACGAAGAAGAGGAGGAGGAGAAGAAACCGGAGGAAGAGCCCCUCUAUGUUCCCUUCAGUCCUACAGCUUCCUCCCAGCAUGAAGACAGUGUCUAAGUGUGAGGACCAAUCAGAGCCCAGCGUGUCUGCUCUGUAUGGAAGCCUUUGAGGGACUUUAUUAAUUGGAGAUAAACUAUCUGAAUUUCAGGAGCAGGACCACGCCUCCAAACACACCUCUUCCUGUUCCUACAUAUAUUUGACCCCCCAGCUCUACAACGCCCCCUCCCCCCCCCCCAUUAGUACAUAGUCCCCUCUGAGCCUCCCCCAAGCUGCAGCUCACUUCAUGUUUCCCAACAACCCGUCGGCGUGGUUUUCCCGUUGUUACGCUGCUCUGAUGGGUUUUUUUUUUUGCCUGUCCCGUUUGGCUCUUUUGCAUCAGAAUUGUUGUCUAAAGACAAAGAAAGAUGCCCAACGGAUUUACUUUACCAAACUGACCAUCCCAGCCUCGCCAUAAUGGUCCAUUUGAUUCACCUUUUAUUGUUUAUUUUAUUUUCACUUGCUGAAUACGGGACAGACUUGACUGGGGGAAAGAAGGGGAGAAAGAAAGAGGGAAAGAGAAACAGCUGAGAAGAGGGACGGGGGAGAAGGGCAAAAGACAAAAACCAAC
Long non-coding RNA from Astatotilapia calliptera (eastern happy), 1319 nucleotides. Lineage: Eukaryota; Metazoa; Chordata; Actinopteri; Cichliformes; Cichlidae. The record is from Ensembl.